Molecule: ribosomal RNA, 253 nt
Filed under: uncultured bacterium
Lineage: Bacteria
Description: partial 16S ribosomal RNA
Rfam family: Bacterial small subunit ribosomal RNA
Source: RNAcentral
UACAGGGGAUGCAAGUGUUAUCCGGAAUCAUUGGGCGUAAAGCGUCUGCAGGUUGAUAUUUAAGUCUUUUGUUAAAGCUUUGGGCUUAACCCAAAAUCUGCAAAAGAAACUAUUUAUCUUGAGUAUGGUAGAGGUAAAGGGAAUUUCCGGUGGAGCGGUGAAAUGCGUAGAUAUCGGAAAGAACACCAAUUGCGAAGGCACUUUACUGGGCCAGAACUGACACUCAGAGACGAAAGCUAAGGGAGCAAACAGG